This 75-nucleotide transfer RNA is filed under the name Hippea maritima DSM 10411. RNAcentral describes it as "tRNA-Val (CAC) (tRNA-Val-CAC-1-1)". It matches the Rfam family "tRNA". From Rfam's summary of the family: Transfer RNA (tRNA) molecules are approximately 80 nucleotides in length. Their secondary structure includes four short double-helical elements and three loops (D, anti-codon, and T loops). Lineage: Bacteria; Pseudomonadati; Campylobacterota; Desulfurellia; Desulfurellales; Hippeaceae. The record is from RNAcentral.
GGGCGGUUAGCUCAGCGGAAGAGCGCUUGCUUCACACGCAAGAGGUCACAGGUUCGACACCUGUACCGCCCACCA